Molecule: ribosomal RNA, 406 nt
Filed under: uncultured bacterium
Lineage: Bacteria
Description: partial 16S ribosomal RNA
Rfam family: Bacterial small subunit ribosomal RNA
Source: RNAcentral
AUUGAACGCUGGCGGCAGGCUUAACACAUGCAAGUCGAACGAGUGGCGGACGGGUGAGUAAUGCUUGGGAAACUGGCCGAUGGAGGGGGAUAACUACGGGAAACGGUCGCUAAUACCGCAUACCAUCGGAUGAGCCCAGGUGGGAUUAGGUAGUUGGUGGGGUAACGGCUCACCUAGGCGACGAUCCCUAGCUGGUCUGAGAGGAUGACCAGCCACACUGGGACUGAGACACGGUCCAGACUCCUACGGGAGGCAGCAGUGGGGAAUAUUGCACAAUGGGCGCAAGCCUGAUGCAGCCAUGCCGCGUGAAUGAAGAAGGCCUUCGGGUUGUAAAGUACUUUCAGCGAGGAGGCGUUACUCGCAGAAGAAGCACCGGCUAACUCCGUGCCAGCAGCCGCGGUAAUUC